Molecule: long non-coding RNA, 429 nt
Organism: Saccostrea echinata
Lineage: Eukaryota; Metazoa; Mollusca; Bivalvia; Ostreida; Ostreidae
Exons: 3
Source: RefSeq, a predicted model, not a curated record
UAAAGGAAGAAAGAUGUUUUAGAGAAAGAUGAUCCCCAAAACAAUAUAGAGCCUUUAGAGGUUUUCUGAAAGCUGCCAAAGGAACAGUCAGAAUGGAUUUCUUAUCAAUCAGCAGUCAAAAUGUACAACCUUAGUAAACUCUCAGCAGUAUGUUCCUUUUGAUCCAGAUGCACUGAUAAAUAACCUUGAUGUCGAAACCAUCAGGCUGGGCUAAGGAUCAUAUGGAUUUUUGUUUCCACCACUUGCCACCAACGAUUGAACUGUUUUCUCUAGCUGCUACAAAAGACCUACAUGUUCCUCAGAAUUUUACCAAUUGAAAGCCACAGUAAGUCAAAAGAUUCAAGUUGGAAAAAAAGAAAAGGAAAGAAACAUUCAUGUUAGAGAUCACAUAAAAAAAGCUAGUUUAAUUGGAAUAUGAAAAAAACUGCA